This 448-nucleotide ribosomal RNA is filed under the name uncultured bacterium. RNAcentral's name for it is "SSU rRNA". It matches the Rfam family "Bacterial small subunit ribosomal RNA", at positions 26 to 518 of the family's 1533-position model. The record is from RNAcentral.
AGGAUGAACGCUGGCGGUCUGCUUAACACAUGCAAGUCGAACGGGCGUAGCAAUACGUUAGUGGCGGACGGGUGAGUAACGCGUGAGAAUCUACCUUCAGGACGGAGACAACAGUUGGAAACGACUGCUAACCCCCGAUGUACUGAAAAGGCAAAUAUUUAUAGCCUGAAGAAGAGCUCGCGUCCGAUUAGCUAGUUGGAGAGGUAAAAGCUCACCAAGGCGACGAUCGGUAGCUGGUCUGAGAGGACGAUCAGCCACACUGGGACUGAGACACGGCCCAGACUCCUACGGGGGGCAGCAGUGAGGAAUUUUCGUCAAUGGGGGCAACCCUGAACGAGCAACGCCGCGUGCAGGAAGAAGGUUUUCGGAUCGUAAACUGCUUUUCUCGGGGAAGAGAACGGACGGUACCCGAGGAAUCAGCCCCGGCUAACUACGUGCCAGCAGCCGC